Molecule: ribosomal RNA, 494 nt
Filed under: Listeria monocytogenes
Lineage: Bacteria; Bacillati; Bacillota; Bacilli; Caryophanales; Listeriaceae
Description: bacterial SSU rRNA
Rfam family: Bacterial small subunit ribosomal RNA
Source: RNAcentral
CUAUCGCUUACAGAUGGGCCCGCGGUGCAUUAGCUAGUUGGUAGGGUAAUGGCCUACCAAGGCAACGAUGCAUAGCCGACCUGAGAGGGUGAUCGGCCACACUGGGACUGAGACACGGCCCAGACUCCUACGGGAGGCAGCAGUAGGGAAUCUUCCGCAAUGGACGAAAGUCUGACGGAGCAACGCCGCGUGUAUGAAGAAGGUUUUCGGAUCGUAAAGUACUGUUGUUAGAGAAGAACAAGGAUAAGAGUAACUGCUUGUCCCUUGACGGUAUCUAACCAGAAAGCCACGGCUAACUACGUGCCAGCAGCCGCGGUAAUACGUAGGUGGCAAGCGUUGUCCGGAUUUAUUGGGCGUAAAGCGCGCGCAGGCGGUCUUUUAAGUCUGAUGUGAAAGCCCCCGGCUUAACCGGGGAGGGUCAUUGGAAACUGGAAGACUGGAGUGCAGAAGAGGAGAGUGGAAUUCCACGUGUAGCGGUGAAAUGCGUAGAUAUG